GGUGAUGUCUCCUUAUCAUUAGCAAUGGAGGCACUCGGUCAUGCUGUGGGUUAGUAGAUAAACCUUAGACGCUUGUCGUCAAAGGUGUGAUGUGAGGGGGGGUUAGAUGCCC
Molecule: non-coding RNA, 112 nt
Filed under: uncultured Neobacillus sp.
Lineage: Bacteria; Bacillati; Bacillota; Bacilli; Caryophanales; Bacillaceae
Description: epsC RNA
Rfam family: epsC RNA
Source: RNAcentral